Molecule: ribosomal RNA, 354 nt
Filed under: Babesia canis
Lineage: Eukaryota; Apicomplexa; Aconoidasida; Piroplasmida; Babesiidae
Description: SSU rRNA
Rfam family: Eukaryotic small subunit ribosomal RNA
Source: RNAcentral
CUUGUAAUUGGAAUGAUGGUGACCCAAACCCUCACCAGAGUAGCAAUUGGAGGGCAAGUCUGGUGCCAGCAGCCGCGGUAAUUCCAGCUCCAAUAGCGUAUAUUAAACUUGUUGCAGUUAAAAAGCUCGUAGUUGUAUUUUUGCGUUGACGGUUUGACCAUUUGGUUGGUUAUUUCGUUUUCGCUUUUGGGAAUUUCCCUUUUUACUUUGAGAAAAUUAGAGUGUUUCAAGCAGACUUUUGUCUUGAAUACUUCAGCAUGGAAUAAUAGAGUAGGACUUUGGUUCUAUUUUGUUGGUUAUUGAACCUUAGUAAUGGUUAAUAGGAACGGUUGGGGGCAUUCGUAUUUAAAGAAA